This 486-nucleotide ribosomal RNA is filed under the name uncultured bacterium. RNAcentral's name for it is "partial 16S ribosomal RNA". It matches the Rfam family "Bacterial small subunit ribosomal RNA", at positions 30 to 507 of the family's 1533-position model. The record is from RNAcentral.
AUUGAACGCUGGCGGCAUGCCUUACACAUGCAAGUCGAACGGCAGCACGGGUGCUUGCACCUGGUGGCGAGUGGCGAACGGGUGAGUAAUACAUCGGAACAUGUCCUGUAGUGGGGGAUAGCCCGGCGAAAGCCGGAUUAAUACCGCAUACGAUCUACGGAUGAAAGCGGGGGACCUUCGGGCCUCGCGCUAUAGGGUUGGCCGAUGGCUGAUUAGCUAGUUGGUGGGGUAAAGGCCUACCAAGGCGACGAUCAGUAGCUGGUCUGAGAGGACGACCAGCCACACUGGGACUGAGACACGGCCCAGACUCCUACGGGAGGCAGCAGUGGGGAAUUUUGGACAAUGGGCGAAAGCCUGAUCCAGCAAUGCCGCGUGUGUGAAGAAGGCGUUCGGGUUGUAAAGCACUUUUGUCCGGAAAGAAAUCCUUGGCCCUAAUACGGUCGGGGGAUGACGGUACCGGAAGAAUAAGCACCGGCUAACUACGUG